This 1315-nucleotide long non-coding RNA is filed under the name Ananas comosus (pineapple). RNAcentral's name for it is "long non-coding RNA (ACOM_LNC014328)". The record is from RNAcentral. Lineage: Eukaryota; Viridiplantae; Streptophyta; Magnoliopsida; Poales; Bromeliaceae.
UUUUUUUUUUUUUUUUUUUUUGAGAGAUAAAUAGCACGCUAUCCGCUUCGUUUAUUUCAUUUAGAAAUAAACUUAGCUAGAAAAUGUGAAUCAACUAGGAUUUGAACUUGGGUCUCGGAUACCAACCACCAAAUCCUUUGCCACUUACUCUAAGGGCUUAAAGGUCUUUGGUUGAUCUCCCAGACUCCCACUCCUCCAUCGAGAUCGAAAUUUCUACUUCUUCUUGUCGGAUCGUUGACGCUGAUCACUAAUACCAAAAAUUCGAGCUAUUAGAAAUACGCAAUAAAUUCACUUAAAACGUACAAAUAUAAUGUCAACAUGUCUCAAUUGUAACUUGAUCCAAUUAAUCUUACACUAUUUCGAAAAUGACUUGGCCCAACCCAACUUUACGUCGUUUUAAACGUAAUUCGACCCACUCGGUCUCCCGCCCCAGGGUAGGUUGCUAACCCAUUUAAGCCAACACUCCUGAAAGAACUACUAUCUAACAUCACAGACUUUUUUUUGGGUACAAUUGCCGGUGAAUUUUGCAAAUUGUUAUUAUUUUUUUUUUUGAGAGAUAGAUAGCACGCUACCCGUUUCGUUUAUUUUUUUUUAGAAACGGCAAAUUAAUUUAGAUACCACAAUUAAUUGUUUUCUCAGUUCAAAUGAAUGAUGAAUUAGUUUGAUAAAUUCUGCCAGAUUGACGUUGGGAAUGAGCUUGUUGUCACGGGAAGAGUUCAGCCCCUGCGCUACUAGAGAAAUUAGCGAACUCGACCAAAAUAAUGCUGGUGAAUACAUACAAUGCAAUGGGUACGAUCUGUGCGGUCAUCACAGGACCAGCUUACAGUUUUGGCCUUAUUUUGGCACUUGCUUUGAUCGAGUCCGCAUAUGUAGCCGAUCGCGUGAGGAGGAACCCGAUUUAAGGGGCAGUCCUAGUCCUAGUGUGGCAUAAUAAAACUAUUGACACCAUUCCAUCGCUUGUCCGGAAAUUGGCCCAUAUAUAGCAGCAGGAUUUAGGACUCCUUAAUUCCCCUUCAAUCAAAAAAAGCUGCACGCGACCACACGACCCAAAAACUGCACUGCAGUAGGAGAGCCGGAGAAUGAGUUGGAGUUGGAGUUGGAGUUGGAGUUGUGGUAGGGACUCCGCAGAAGAAAAAGGUUGGAGAUUCCCCAGGUCACACUGAAAGAGAUCUAUGAGAUGGGUGCGUCCUCUCCCCUCACCCCACUCCCCCCACCACGCACGACGUAGAUUCCCGUUGCCCCUCUUGCUUAAUUAAUUGGGGUGGUAAAAGCUAGAAAUAAUGUUAUGCUAGCCUGAAGAACUGAAUAUAUAUAU